CGAACGGGUGAGUAACACGUGAGUAACCUGCCCCAGACUCUGGGAUAAGCCUUGGAAACGAGGUCUAAUACCGGAUACGAGACGAGAUCGCAUGGUCAUCGUCUGGAAAGAAUUUCGGUCUGGGAUGGACUCGCGGCCUAUCAGCUUGUUGGUGAGGUAAUGGCUCACCAAGGCGACGACGGGUAGCCGGCCUGAGAGGGCGACCGGCCACAUUGGAACUGAGACACGGUCCAGACUCCUACGGGAGGCAGCAGUGGGGAAUAUUGCACAAUGGGCGCAAGCCUGAUGCAGCGACGCCGCGUGGGGGAUGAAGGCCUUCGGGUUGUAAACCCCUUUCAGCAGGGAAGAAGCGAAAGUGACGGUACCUGCAGAAGAAGCGCCGGCUAACUACGUGCCAGCAGCCGCGGUAAUACGUAGGGCGCAAGCGUUGUCCGGAAUUAUUGGGCGUAAAGAGCUCGUAGGCGGUCUGUCGCGUCUGCUGUGAAAACCCGAGGCUCAACCUCGGGCCUGCAGUGGGUACGGGCAGACUAGAGUGUGGUAGGGGAGACUGGAAUUCCUGGUGUAGCGGUGGAAUGCGCAGAUAUCAGGAGGAACACCAAUGGCGAAGGCAGGUCUCUGGGCCACUACUGACGCUGAGGAGCGAAAGCAUGGGGAGCGAACAGAUUAGAUACCCUGGUAGUCCAUGCCGUAAACGGUGGGC
RNAcentral lists this ribosomal RNA (700 nucleotides) under uncultured bacterium. RNAcentral's name for it is "bacterial SSU rRNA". It matches the Rfam family "Bacterial small subunit ribosomal RNA", at positions 99 to 814 of the family's 1533-position model. The record is from RNAcentral.